GGGAGAUGAUGGAAGAAGGAACAGAUGGGGAGGAUAGGCAAUCUUAGCGUCGUCUUUUCUUCCGAUAUAUAAUUUGCCGAGUAACCAACAUUUAGCGAGAAAUGUCUCACUCUCUGCAUUUGUGCAUCCCUGCUACACCAGCUCUUGAAUCUUUCACGAGAAAGAGAGCACGGCGUUUUCAAACUCUCUCUUCUUCUCUACAAUCCAAUCUUCAAAGCGGACAAGAUGAGCCUGACAACUGCAGGGGUCGGUGCGAAGCCAAUGUGAUUUUGGUGGAGAGAUAUGCCAAUGGAUCUUCUAGAAGGUAUAUACUAGACGAUGACUCGCAAUUAAAAAGUUUUCUUGAGGAACAUGGUGCCAAAAAUAGUAGGUUCCAAGAAUCACAUUCGUUGGACACAAAACUGUCAUGGCUUCCAUAUUCAAUCAAAGAUUUUGUUCUACCUGUAGGCUUCCCAGGAUCAGUUUCAGAUGACUACUUGCAGUACAUGUUGUUACAGUUCCCUACCAAUGUUACUGGAUGGAUCUGUCACACUUUAGUAACAUCAAGUCUCCUCAAGGCUAUUGGUGUUGGCUCUUUCACAGGUACUACAGCUGCUGCUUCUGCUGCUGCUAUCAGAUGGGUGUCAAAGGAUGGCAUUGGAGCUCUAGGGCGCCUAUUUGUUGGUGGACGAUUUGGAAAUCUUUUUGAUGAUGAUCCAAAACAAUGGCGCAUGUAUGCAGACUUCAUUGGCAGUGCAGGAAGCAUCUUUGAUCUAGUGACGCAAGUGUAUCCUGCCUAUUUCCUGCCAUUGGCUUCUCUUGGAAAUCUUGCAAAGGCUGUAGCAAGAGGCCUAAAAGACCCUUCCUUCCGUGUGAUUCAAAACCAUUUUGCAAUCUCAGGAAAUUUGGGAGAGGUAGCUGCAAAGGAGGAAGUUUGGGAAGUAGGUGCUCAAUUGUUUGGCCUUGCAUUGGGCAUACUGAUGCUGGAUACACCUGGCCUUGUAAAAUCUUUUCCAGUGUUGGCAUCGACUUGGAUGAGCAUUCGGGUUCUGCACCUUUGGUUGCGUUAUCUAUCACUCUCAGUUCUACAGUUUGACACAAUAAAUCUCAAGCGUGCCCGUUCGCUGGUUAAAUCACAUGUUUCGCACUCUGCUGUUUUGGGUAACUUCAUACCCUUUUUAAGUCCCUUUGUCUUACAAGUUAUGCCAUUUACAGCAUUCAGUUUGAGUAUUUGUUCAGGAUGUGCUGAUUGCAAUCGAGAAGAAAAUAUUUUAUCAUGGGAAACAUUCAUGAAGCCACGAAUUAUUUUCAGUGCGCCCUUAGAGGAGAUGGUUGGCAGUGAGAGAUCUGUUGCCAAGGUGAAGACACUUCUAAAACUAUAUACAAAGGAGAAAUAUUUGCUUAUGGUAAACCAACAAAAAAGAGACUUUGAGGUGUUUGUCUCAUUCAAGGUGCAAAAAAAUAAAUGGUAACUUGGGAUGAUUUAACUGAACAGUGAUUAACGUCUUCAACUUGAUUAAACUUAAAAAUUCCACUGUAGGUUGGAGCUACAAGUAUCUCUGUCUUGCGAAGUGUGUGGCAGACUUACUGGCUACAUGAAAACUGGGAAAGCUCUGUUAACGUCUUUGAUCAGCUUGCACAAAGCCUACGAGAGAUGGAAAAUAGGUUUGAAGACUUCAUGCAACAGUUAGACGUAGCUGGAUGGCAUACUCAUGAAAUAAAUCUGAAGGUCCCUAGGGAAAUCUGCAUUGAUGAACUGGGCACUAUUUAAUGUGCAAAUGUCAGUAAUCCAAAUGCCAUUGUCAUUGCAACCAUCUCAAGCUACCUUCUGCACUUGAAAUUAUAUGGCCUGUCAGAAAAAACCAACAUGCUUUGGGCAUUGUCCUCAUCCAUCGGGCAGCUCUUUGAAGAAGGUCGAGCUUCAUGUUCCAAGUGUGAGCCUAGUUAAAAAUGAAGAAGCUGAGCUUUGCAUGCCAUGCUUGAUAGAGGAAAGGGCUAGAGGUAAGUUUUUAUUUCACUGAAAUGCCCUGACAGCCAUUGCAAAUCUCAGAGUUGUGUCUCGGCCUGAACUGAUGAGAUAUUGUCAAUUAUUAGCCAAUUUUAUUGUCUUAACUUUAAUUAAUUAUUUCAUAAUUUCAUCAGUCGCACCUUUGUUCUUAAAGAGAAGUGUAUUACAUAUACUCAAAUUAUGAUUUUUCUUAUCUUGAUCAGGUUUACUAUGGAUACAAGAUGUAUAGUGGAACCUAUUUAUUAAACAUAUGAAUCUCACAUGUUUGUAUUUGGAACCCAUAUUGAAUUAUACCUAGGUAAGAAUUUUCUUCAAAGAUGAUGAUGGCAUUAUAACAAAGUACCUCUUUUGACUUUAGACUGGAG
This 2352-nucleotide unclassified non-coding RNA is filed under the name Hevea brasiliensis (rubber tree). The record is from RNAcentral. Lineage: Eukaryota; Viridiplantae; Streptophyta; Magnoliopsida; Malpighiales; Euphorbiaceae.